This 253-nucleotide ribosomal RNA is filed under the name uncultured prokaryote. Its description in RNAcentral is "partial 16S ribosomal RNA". It matches the Rfam family "Bacterial small subunit ribosomal RNA", at positions 524 to 776 of the family's 1533-position model. The record is from RNAcentral.
UACGGGGGGGGCGAGCGUUGUCCGAAGUUACUGGGCGUAAAGCGCGUGUAGGCGGGUUGCUAAGUCCGCUGUGAAAGCCCGGUGCUUAACGCCGGAGGGUCGGUGGAUACUGGCAGUCUUGAAGUGGCUAGGGGGAAAUGGAAUUACCGGUGUAGCGGUGAAAUGCGUAGAUAUCGGUAGGAACACCAGUGGCGAAGGCGGUUUCCUGGAGCCCACUUGACGCUGAGACGCGAAAGCUGGGGGAGCAAACGGG